AUUGAACGCUGGCGGCAGGCCUAACACAUGCAAGUCGAACGGUAACAGGGAUCAGCUUGCUGAUUCGCUGACGAGUGGCGGACGGGUGAGUAAUGUCUGGGAAACUGCCUGAUGGAGGGGGAUAACUACUGGAAACGGUAGCUAAUACCGCAUAACGUCGCAAGACCAAAGAGGGGGACCUUCGGGCCUCUUGCCAUCGGAUGUGCCCAGAUGGGAUUAGCUAGUAGGUGGGGUAACGGCUCACCUAGGCGACGAUCCCUAGCUGGUCUGAGAGGAUGACCAGCCACACUGGAACUGAGACACGGUCCAGACUCCUACGGGAGGCAGCAGUGGGGAAUAUUGCACAAUGGGCGCAAGCCUGAUGCAGCCAUGCCGCGUGUAUGAAGAAGGCCUUCGGGUUGUAAAGUACUUUCAGCGGGGAGGAAGGGGUAAAGUUAAUACCUUUGCUCAUUGACGUUACCCGCAGAAGAAGCACCGGCUAACUCCGUG
RNAcentral lists this ribosomal RNA (489 nucleotides) under uncultured bacterium. RNAcentral describes it as "partial 16S ribosomal RNA". It matches the Rfam family "Bacterial small subunit ribosomal RNA", at positions 30 to 507 of the family's 1533-position model. The record is from RNAcentral.